GACAGAGGGUGCAAGCGUUGUUCGGAAUCAUUGGGCGUAAAGGGCGCGUAGGCGGUUUUGUAAGUCGGAUGUGAAAGCCCAGGGCUUAACCUUGGAAGUGCAUCCGAAACUGCAUAACUGGAGUCUCGGAGAGGGUGGUAGAAUUCCCAGUGUAGAGGUGAAAUUCGUAGAUAUUGGGAGGAAUACCGGUGGCGAAGGCGACCACCUGGACGAAGACUGACGCUGAGGCGCGAGAGCGUGGGGAGCAAAC
RNAcentral lists this ribosomal RNA (250 nucleotides) under uncultured bacterium. RNAcentral describes it as "partial 16S ribosomal RNA". It matches the Rfam family "Bacterial small subunit ribosomal RNA", at positions 524 to 773 of the family's 1533-position model. The record is from RNAcentral.